GACGAAGGGGGCUAGCGUUGUUCGGAUUUACUGGGCGUAAAGCGCGCGUAGGCGGAUCGCUAAGUCAGGGGUGAAAUCCCAGGGCUCAACCCUGGAACUGCCUUUGAUACUGACGAUCUGGAGAUCGGGAGAGGUUGGUGGAAUUCCGAGUGUAGAGGUGAAAUUCGUAGAUAUUCGGAGGAACACCAGAAGCGAAGGCGGCCAACUGGCCCGAUACUGACGCUGAGGCGCGAAAGCGUGGGGAGCAAACAGG
RNAcentral lists this ribosomal RNA (253 nucleotides) under uncultured bacterium. RNAcentral's name for it is "partial 16S ribosomal RNA". It matches the Rfam family "Bacterial small subunit ribosomal RNA", at positions 524 to 776 of the family's 1533-position model. The record is from RNAcentral.